GGAGGUAUAGCUCAAGUGGUAGAGCACAUGCUUAGCAAGCAUGAGGUCCUGGGUUCAGACCCUGUACCGUCU
Molecule: transfer RNA, 72 nt
Filed under: Camelus bactrianus (Bactrian camel)
Lineage: Eukaryota; Metazoa; Chordata; Mammalia; Artiodactyla; Camelidae
Also listed under: 2 other names
Rfam family: tRNA
About the family: Transfer RNA (tRNA) molecules are approximately 80 nucleotides in length. Their secondary structure includes four short double-helical elements and three loops (D, anti-codon, and T loops).
Source: Rfam by way of RNAcentral